This 503-nucleotide ribosomal RNA is filed under the name uncultured bacterium. RNAcentral describes it as "partial 16S ribosomal RNA". It matches the Rfam family "Bacterial small subunit ribosomal RNA", at positions 28 to 523 of the family's 1533-position model. The record is from RNAcentral.
GAUGAACGCUAGCGAUAGGCCUAACACAUGCAAGUCGAGGGGCAUCACGGAGUAGCAAUACUUUGGUGGCGACCGGCGCACGGGUGAGUAACGCGUAUGCAAUCUACCUACAACAGGGGGAUAACCCGGAGAAAUCCGGACUAAUACCGCAUAACACAGGGGUCCCGCAUGGGAAUAUUUGUUAAAGAUUUAUCGGUUGUAGAUGAGCAUGCGUUCCAUUAGGUAGUUGGUGAGGUAACGGCCCACCAAACCUGCGAUGGAUAGGGGAACUGAGAGGUUUGUCCCCCACACUGGAACUGAGACACGGACCAGACUCCGACAGGAGGCAGCAGUGAGGAAUAUUGGUCAAUGGGCGAGAGCCUGAACCAGCCAAAUCGCGUGAAGGAAGACUGCCUUAUGGGUUGUAAACUUCUUUUGUACAGGAAUAAAAAGAGGGACGUGUCCUUCAUUGCAUGUACUGUACGAAUAAGCAUCGGCUAACUCCGUGCCAGCAGCCGCGGUAA